RNAcentral lists this long non-coding RNA (652 nucleotides) under Musa acuminata (dwarf banana). RNAcentral's name for it is "long non-coding RNA (MACU_LNC005983)". The record is from RNAcentral. Lineage: Eukaryota; Viridiplantae; Streptophyta; Magnoliopsida; Zingiberales; Musaceae.
CUCGGCCCCUCCGCCGCGCUCUUCUUCUUCUCCGUCUCCUCCGGCGGGGCGGCCGGGACAGAGGCGCCGCUCACCUCCUCGUCAACCACGACGACGGCUGGGGAAGAGGCAGGGAAGGAUUUCGCGACGGUGAGCAUCGCCGAGGCGGCGGAAGAAGAGGCCGGCUGCUGCUGUCGCUCCUGCUCCUCCUUGAGGCGGUGAUCGCGGUAGCAUUUAGAGCAGAGGUUGAGCGUCGCGGGGCUCCCGAAGAAGCCACAGUUGUUCGCGCAGAGGCGGUGGCCCUCCUGGCAUCGCUGCUCUUCCGCCAUUCUCCUCCCUCCCCUUUCUUUCCAGAUCAAUCGCUCGGCCGGUCAAUCUGCACGCGACCAAUAGCAAGCACACAUCAAAUAUUAUAGAUCGACCACCAAAUCCGCUCCUUUUCUCCCUCUGACAAUAAUAUAAAAGACAAAUCUUUGGCGUUACGGAUCCACAAAAUCCAUUGCUUCCGGUUCAAGAAAAAGGCAACACCACAACCCAAAAGCUCAAACAACCUCUACAGCAAGGAAUCCCAUCAGAAACAUGCGCAUGGCAUACCGUCUCAACGAUCUCCACAACCACAAAAAGAGAAAGAGAGAAAGAUUGAGAAAACGGCACCUUGUUAUGUGAGAACAAG